Non-coding RNA from Stygiomarasmius scandens, 94 nucleotides. NCBI's taxonomy places the organism in Eukaryota, Fungi, Basidiomycota, Agaricomycetes, Agaricales, Campanellaceae. The record is from the annotation of a GenBank genome assembly.
GGCCUGAUGGUCUAGUAGUAUGAUUCCUUGUUAGGGUAUCCACGACGAUCACAGUCUAUCGAGGAGGUCCCGGGUUCAAUUCCCGGUCAGGCCC